This 608-nucleotide long non-coding RNA is filed under the name Ailuropoda melanoleuca (giant panda). RNAcentral's name for it is "lncRNA (ENSAMEG00000030932.1)". Lineage: Eukaryota; Metazoa; Chordata; Mammalia; Carnivora; Ursidae. The record is from RNAcentral.
GACCUGAUGACUUAUCAGAGUGUCUGUUUCUUUCCAGAUAGAGUGAGUGAGAGGCUCAGGGGAGCUAGUGCCUGUUCAGCUCAGUGCCUGGAACACACAGGAUGCACAUUACAUAACAAAUGGCUUAUAUGACCCUUACUACGGAGAUCAGGCCUGUCAGUGUCCCGGGGCUGCUCUCACAAGUUCCGCAACCUGUAUGGCUUAAAACAACAGAAACUGAUUCUCUCGAAGUGCUGGAGGCUGCAAGUCUGAAAUCAAGGAAAUCUAACUUAGGUUGAAGAUUGACCCGAAAGCCCUUUGUUAUCAAGAGGAUUCUUUUAAUAUAGACAGUACCAAAGGAGGGGGAAACAAAGCUUUCCAAAAUAGAAGAAAUCCGAGGCAUUUUCAAGCAGGUAAGUUCUACCUGGCUGAGCCUUUCUUCUCAUUUUGAUUUAUUCUAAAGGAAUUAGUACGUCUUGGGGUGGAGACGAAAGGGGGAAGGAUUAGAGAGAAUGUGGCUUGUCUGGCUUGAGGUUGUUAGCCUCCAGCUAGAUGAGGUGGCUUGGGGUCACCAUCAUAGGCUGUUGGCCAUGAGCUCUCUCAGAGCAAGCUCACAGGGGAGGAACUCC